RNAcentral lists this ribosomal RNA (250 nucleotides) under uncultured bacterium. RNAcentral describes it as "partial 16S ribosomal RNA". It matches the Rfam family "Bacterial small subunit ribosomal RNA", at positions 528 to 776 of the family's 1533-position model. The record is from RNAcentral.
UAGGAGGCAAGCGUUAUCCGGAAUGACUGGGCGUAAAGGGUGCGUAGGUGGUUUGUACAAGUUAGUAGCGCAACUCCGGAGCUUAACUUCGGAACUACUACUAAAACUGUUGGACUUGAGUGCAGGAGGGGCAAUCGGAAUUCCUAGUGUAGCGGUGGAAUGCGUAGAUAUUAGGAGGAACACCAGUGGCGAAGGCGGAUUGCUAGACUGUAACUGACACUGAGGCACGAAAGCGUGGGGAGCAAACAGG